Molecule: unclassified non-coding RNA, 831 nt
Filed under: Hevea brasiliensis (rubber tree)
Lineage: Eukaryota; Viridiplantae; Streptophyta; Magnoliopsida; Malpighiales; Euphorbiaceae
Source: RNAcentral
CUAUUUUCAUUCAUUGUGUAGUAGUAUUUCAAGAUUACAGUGAAUCGAAAACGUUCAGAUUCCUAAAAAGACAGAGUACAUAGUAAAGAAAAUUAAAACGUCUAAACGGGAAUUGGAAACACACCGCCGAUUGAAGCCCUAACCGCCGUCCGCCGUCCGCCGUAGAGCCUGUUUUAAAUCCCCAAACUGCUUCACAAAUUCCACACUCAAGCCCCAUCCAAUCCUCUUUCAAUCUCGAUCAGAAGCCCGAAGGCCUCUUUUCGUUUUAGAUUUUUUUUUAAUAUAAUAUUCUUUCAAUUCAUUUCAGAAAAAGCACUUUUAGUUCUUGUUCUUAAGGAGAAUCGAUCGAAGUUCGGCAACAUCGAUCUCAUCAGAGCGAUUCUCCGGUCGGUAAUAUCCAGUAACAGGAUCCGGCACCCAAGAAACCUUCUCAGAUGAUCCAGCAACCUUCUCCUCUCCCGAUUUCUUCAACAGAUUACUGUUCCUCGCCGCCGCAACACUUCCUCCUUUAACCGCACUCGACGCAACUCCUUGAGAAGCCGCAGCCGCAGCGUAACCACGCCUGCUGAGAGCGGAAGAGAAUCCAUCGGAAACGAGAGCGGAGAUGAGCUUAACGUUGGAGAAAGAGCGAGCCAUUGGAAUUGAAUAUGAUAAAACUGAAAAUGGUGCUGCUAGUGGAGAAAAGAUUUUCUUCGGAACAAGAAUAUUGGAACGUUGUUCGUUUCUGGAGAAAAUCCUCCACAGCAGCGGAAGGGAAAGCUGAGAGAGAAGUGGCUUGAGCUCUGUGCGUGUAAAAAUGGAGCAGUUUGUGUUUUGAAAAUGGGGAUGAGG